GUGAGUGUGAGAAACUGAAAUAUUUUCCUUCCUCUCCAAGUCUAACUGUGUUUGAUAUUUUCACAAAUUUGAUAUUCUAUUCCCAAAAGCAAAAGCUUUGGCUUUGUUACAACCACAUCAAUGGUUCCACCUUCAUAAAUUACCCCAACUUUUCUUACACUAUUCCACCGGCUGCAGUAGGAAGCAAUCAACAUAGUAACUCUUUCUAUUUCUGAGUCAAGUAUCAUUACGUUUCAUCAUGUUUAUUUCUUCACUUUCCUAAAAUGGUGGACUGAAUCCAGCAAAAUUGCUCUCGGCUCGAUUCCUUUCACACAAAACUCAAUAUGCUCUUUUCAUAGCAGAACUCCAGCUGGUAACCCCAAUUAUCUCUGUAAAUCUAUGUAUUUUCAUUUUAAUACAGCAACUAUUUUCUUCUAUUUGUUUCUUAUUUUUUUACUUAUACGGAAACAUCACCAACAGAAUUAUAACAAAUACGAAAUCCAAAUACCCAACUGUUUCUAUUAAAGAAAUACCUUGACCAAUGCUAUGCACCAAAAAUCAAAUCUUUACAUCUGAAUUCCUUUCCUUUUGUUCCUCCGGUGAGUGAGAGUCGAGGAUUCGAUGAGAGGGAGGAGUGGGACUGUCCGAGCUCGACGCCGGGCUGUCAAGGCCACGGCUGCCGGCGCUGCAUGCGUGGCAGCAGCCCGCCGGCCGCUCGCGGCCAAGGCAGACGGAGUCGGGGCACGGCAGUGAGGCUGGUGGCUGGCAAGAGGGAGGUGGUGAGCAGAGGGUAAGGUGAGAAAGAGGAGGCGAUGAGUGAGGGAGGCGUCGGAGCCGGCGAUUCUCGCCGAGGUUAGAGCAGGCGGCGGCGGAAGAUCUUGGAGGGAGAAGAGGCGGUGGUUCUGGGAGAGAGAAAAAGCGAAUUAUAGAGACAGAUGGGAGGAGGAGAGAGAGGUGGUUCCCGGCGACGAAUCGCCGCGAAGAGGGGCGGCGGCGUGGCUUCAUGUGGGAGAGAGAGAGGGCGGCGGAUAGAUGGGUGUGAGGAUAGAGAGAGAAAGAGAACCGAUAGUGAGGAGAGAGAGAGUGAAUAUUUGGCUUUUCAUUUCAGAUUUUUAUGUGUCUUGUAAGUUUUGUUCAAAAGCUGAUGGAUUUUCUUUAAUGGGCCGAUUUCUAUUAUCAGUUGGGCCGUUUCUUUUCUUUUAUUUGAUGGUCU
RNAcentral lists this long non-coding RNA (1192 nucleotides) under Salvia miltiorrhiza (redroot sage). RNAcentral's name for it is "long non-coding RNA (SMIL_LNC005925)". The record is from RNAcentral. Lineage: Eukaryota; Viridiplantae; Streptophyta; Magnoliopsida; Lamiales; Lamiaceae.